UGUGUCUUUGAGGGUGUUUCUGGAAGAGAUUCGCAUUUGAAUCAGUAAGCUGAGUAAAGAUUGCCCUCACCAGUGCAAGAAGGCAUCAUCCAAUCCACUGCUGAAUUGAACAAAAAGCGGCAGAAGUUUUCCCAUCUCGGUAAAUGACAUCAUCAGCCAUCAGACUAUUCAAGACAAAACCUAGGACUGAGUCAUCUUUGACAUCUUUGCAUCCAUAACUCCUAUAGGAAAUCCAAAGCUGGAGUACAGUGCCCAGUCAUAGCUCACCACAGCCUUGAACUCUUGGGCUCAAGCAAUUCUCCC
Macaca mulatta (Rhesus monkey) is the source of this 303-nucleotide long non-coding RNA. RefSeq lists it as uncharacterized. The record is from RefSeq and is a predicted model, not a curated record. NCBI's taxonomy places the organism in Eukaryota, Metazoa, Chordata, Mammalia, Primates, Cercopithecidae.